CGCGUAGGCGGCUUCGGAAGUCAUGGGUGAAAGCCCCAGGCUCAACCUGGGAAUUGCCUGUGAAACCACGGAGCUGGAGUGCUGGAGAGGGAAGUGGAAUUCCCAGUGUAGCGGUGAAAUGCGUAGAUAUUGGGAGGAACACCUGUGGCGAAGGCGGCUUCCUGGACAGACACUGACGCUGAGGCGCGAAAGCCAGGGGAGCAAACG
This 207-nucleotide ribosomal RNA is filed under the name uncultured bacterium. RNAcentral's name for it is "partial 16S ribosomal RNA". It matches the Rfam family "Bacterial small subunit ribosomal RNA", at positions 568 to 774 of the family's 1533-position model. The record is from RNAcentral.